AUUAAGAUGGAGUCAGCAAUUCAGGGAGUCUCUGAUACUGAACUCAGGAAGAGGGUCUUAAAUGAGCACCACCAAUCUAGUCAGAUCACUGAGUUAGUUGAGUCGAGAGAAAAAGCUGAACGACUAACUAAAGCUGAUGAAAAAAAAAAUCAUGUUUCACAUAGGAAAUCAGAGACAAGGAUGAAAAAUCAAGUAGAUUAUACAAACCUUCUCAACAAGUCAUCAGUAGAAUUCAAAGAGCACUCCUCCCAAGCCAGAAUAAGUGACACAAGAAACACAAAAGCAGUGAUGGAAUCACACGAGGAAAAAACUCUACUAGGUGCGUUGAGUACGUCAACUACUCAUUCUAGUGACACCAUCAGUGUUGAAGUAGCACAGGCAAACAAAAGAGAGGCGAAAGCAUCUUCCCAAGUAUUAUCAGGACACUCAUCAAUUAUGGAGUCAAAGACUGGGUUUUCAACUCAAGCAGUUUCUGAUUCAGGCAUUCAAAGAGGUUUUUCACUACAGCACGAACUUACCUCAGAUAGGCCUCCACAACCUCAGCACAUAACACAUGGUGAAGCCAGAAGGGAUGAGGUUCAUGGUUCGUCUUCAAAUUUCACAUCCCAUGAAGAUGCACUUGGUUCAGCUGAUCGAUUGCAGAAAUCCUCAACACAUUAUGUUGGCGAAUUUGUAGAGAAGGUCAGGCAUGAGAUUUCAAACACUGAGAUUCUGAAGGAGAUUAAG
RNAcentral lists this unclassified non-coding RNA (726 nucleotides) under Hevea brasiliensis (rubber tree). The record is from RNAcentral. Lineage: Eukaryota; Viridiplantae; Streptophyta; Magnoliopsida; Malpighiales; Euphorbiaceae.